This 434-nucleotide ribosomal RNA is filed under the name uncultured Clostridium sp. RNAcentral's name for it is "partial 16S ribosomal RNA". It matches the Rfam family "Bacterial small subunit ribosomal RNA", at positions 341 to 792 of the family's 1533-position model. The record is from RNAcentral. Lineage: Bacteria; Bacillati; Bacillota; Clostridia; Eubacteriales; Clostridiaceae.
ACGGGAGGCAGCAGUGGGGAGUAUUGGACAAUGGGGGAAACCCUGAUCCAGCGACGCCGCGUGAGUGAAGAAGUAUUUCGGUAUGUAAAGCUCUAUCAGCAAGGAAGAAAAUGACGGUACUUGACUAAGAAGCUCCGGCUAAAUACGUGCCAGCAGCCGCGGUAAUACGUAUGGAGCAAGCGUUAUCCGGAUUUACUGGGUGUAGAGGGAGCGUAGACGGUAAAGCAAGUCUGAAGUGAAAUCCCGGGGCUCAACCCCGGAACUGCUUUGGAAACUGUUUAACUAGAGUGCAGGAGAGGUAAGUGGAAUUCCUAGUGUAGCGGUGAAAUGCGUAGAUAUUGGGAGGAACACCAGUGGCGAAGGCGGUUUACUGGACGACAACUGACGCUGAGACACGAAAGCGUGGGUAGCAAACAGGAUUAGAUACCCUGGUA